GCUGGUUAAGCUCAGAGGCAGAGCAGUUGAUUUGUAAUUAAAAGGCCGUAGGUUCGAAUCCUACAACCAGCA
RNAcentral lists this transfer RNA (72 nucleotides) under Candidatus Tremblaya phenacola PAVE. RNAcentral describes it as "tRNA-Thr (TGT) (tRNA-Thr-TGT-1-1)". It matches the Rfam family "tRNA". Rfam says of the family: Transfer RNA (tRNA) molecules are approximately 80 nucleotides in length. Their secondary structure includes four short double-helical elements and three loops (D, anti-codon, and T loops). The record is from RNAcentral. Lineage: Bacteria; Pseudomonadati; Pseudomonadota; Betaproteobacteria.